This 647-nucleotide ribosomal RNA is filed under the name uncultured bacterium. Its description in RNAcentral is "partial 16S ribosomal RNA". It matches the Rfam family "Bacterial small subunit ribosomal RNA", at positions 67 to 731 of the family's 1533-position model. The record is from RNAcentral.
AUUAAGCUCUCUUCGGANAGUGCAUAAAGUGGCGCACNNNNNNGUAACACGUAAGUAACCUACCUCUGAGUGGGGAAUAACGUCCGGAAACGGACGCUAAUACCGCAUAAUGCAGCGGCACCGCAAGGUGACAGUUGUUAAAGAUUUAUCGCUUGGAGAGGAGCUUGCGGCAGAUUAGCUAGUUGGUAAGGUAAUGNCUUACCAAGGCAACGAUCUGUAGCCGGUCUAAGAGGACGGUCGGUCACACUGACACUGAAUAACGGGUCAGACUCCUACGGGAGGCAACAGUCGGGAAUUUUGGGCAAUGGGCGAAAGCCUGACCCAGCAACGCCGCGUGAAGGAUGAAGUAUUUCGGUAUGUAAACUUCGAAAGAAUGGGAAGAAUCAAUGACGGUACCAUUUAUAAGGUCCGGCUAACUACGUGCCAGCAGCCGCGGUAAUACGUAGGGACCAAGCGUUGUUCGGAUUUACUGGGCGUAAAGGGCGCGUAGGCGGCAUGACAAGUCACUUGUGAAAUCUCUGGGCUUANCCCAGAACGGCCAAGUGAUACUGUCGCGCUAGAGUGCGGAAGGGGCAAUCGGAAUUCUNGNUGUAGCGGUGAAAUGNNNAGAUAUCAAGAGGAACACCUGANGNGAANANNGGUUGCUG